This 467-nucleotide long non-coding RNA is filed under the name Ananas comosus (pineapple). RNAcentral's name for it is "long non-coding RNA (ACOM_LNC023960)". The record is from RNAcentral. Lineage: Eukaryota; Viridiplantae; Streptophyta; Magnoliopsida; Poales; Bromeliaceae.
AUAUAUAUAUAUAUAUAUGAGAUGGUAAAAAAUAAUUAUACAUAUUUAUAAAUAUAUAUAUUUAUUAUAUAUAUAUAUAAUAUUUUAUUUAUAAAUUUGUAAUUAUUUAUUAAUAUUUCUAAAUAUAUUAUAUAUGAUGUAAUAUAUUUAUUAAAUAUAUUUAAUCUGUAUAUAAAAAUUAUAAUAAUAUAUAAAAUAUAUUAAUUAUUAUAUAUUAAUAUUAUAUAAUAAAAUAUAUUAAAUAGUUUUUCAUUUAUUUUUUUUCCUUCCAACCAAACAAGCUUCAUGGAAAACUAUUUUUUUUUCCGACAAACCAAACACUAACGACGUAAAAUUAUUUUUCCACUGAAAAUUUUUUUUCCACCGAAAAUUUUUUUUCCACAGUUUUACGUGGAACCAAACACACCCUAAAGACUUUUUGCCCAAACCACUAUCCGAAAUAGCCUUCAAUACAACUGUUCAUCGAA